UGGAGGUGUGUGUUACCAGGUGGAGGUGUGUGUGUUACCAGGUGGAGGUGUGUGUUAUCAGGUGGAGGUGUGUGUUACCAGGUGGAGGUGUGUGUUACCAGGUGGAGGUGUGUGUUACCAGGUGGAGGUGUGUGUUAUCAGGUGGAGGUGUGUGUUACCAGGUGGAGGUGUGUGUUACCAGGUGGAGGUGUGUGUUACCAGGUGAAGGGGUGUGUGUUACCAGGUGGAGGAGUGUGUUAUCCGGUGGAAGUGGAGGUGUGUGUUACCAGGUGGAGAUGUGUGUUACCAGGUGGAGGUGGAGGUGUGUGUUAUCCGGUGGAGGUGUGUGUUAUCCGGUGGAGGUGUGUGUUACCAGGUGGAGGUGUGUGUUACCAGGUGGAGGUGCGUGUUACCAGGUGGAGGUGUAGGUGUGUGUUACCAGGUGGAGGUGUGUGUUACCAGGUGGAGGUGUGUGUUACCAGGUGGAGGUGUGUGUUAUCAGGUGCAGGUGGAGGUGUGUGUGUUACCUGGUGCAGGUGGAGGUGUGUGUUACCAGGUGGAGGUGUGUGUGUUACCUGGUGCAGG
This is a long non-coding RNA of Oncorhynchus tshawytscha (Chinook salmon), 564 nucleotides long. The record is from Ensembl. Lineage: Eukaryota; Metazoa; Chordata; Actinopteri; Salmoniformes; Salmonidae.